Molecule: ribosomal RNA, 302 nt
Filed under: uncultured soil bacterium
Lineage: Bacteria
Description: bacterial SSU rRNA
Rfam family: Bacterial small subunit ribosomal RNA
Source: RNAcentral
AGAUUGAACGCUGGCGGCAGGCCUAACACAUGCAAGUCGAGCGGCAGCACGGGUACUUGUACCUGGUGGCGAGCGGCGGACGGGUGAGUAAUGCCUAGGAAUCUGCCUGGUAGUGGGGGAUACGCUCGGAAACGGACGCUAAUACCGCAUACGUCCUACGGGAGAAAGCAGGGGGACCUUCGGGCCUUGCGCUAUCGAGAUGAGCCUAGGUCGAUUAGCUAGUUGGUGAGGUAUGGCUCACCGAAGGCGACGAUCCGUAACUGGUCUGAGAGGAUGAUCAGUACACGACUGGGAACUGAGAC